GCACUCAAGCAGAGAAGAAAUCCACAAGUACUCACCAGCCUCCUGGUCUGCAGAGAAGACAGAAUCAAUAUGAGCACAGCAGGAAAAGUAAUCAAAUGCAAAGCAGCUGUGCUAUGGGAGUUAAAGAAACCCUUUUCCAUUGAGGAGGUAGAGGUUGCACCUCCUAAGGCUCAUGAAGUUCGCAUUAAGAUGGUGGCUGCAGGAAUCUGUCGUUCAGAUGAGCAUGUGGUUAGUGGCAACCUGGUGACCCCCCUUCCUGUGAUUUUAGGCCAUGAGGCAGCCGGCAUCGUGGAAAGUGUUGGAGAAGGGGUGACUACAGUCAAACCAGAAUUUGUAAAAACCCAGAAAGCAACUACUGCUUGAAAAAUGAUCUAGGCAAUCCUCGGGGGACCCUGCAGGAUGGCACCAGGAGGUUCACCUGCAGCGGGAAGCCCAUCCACCACUUCGUCGGCGUCAGCACCUUCUCCCAGUACACAGUGGUGGAUGAGAAUGCAGUGGCCAAAAUUGAUGCAGCCUCGCCCCUGGAGAAAGUCUGCCUCAUUGGCUGUGGAUUUUCGACUGGUU
Molecule: long non-coding RNA, 564 nt
Filed under: Homo sapiens (human)
Lineage: Eukaryota; Metazoa; Chordata; Mammalia; Primates; Hominidae
Description: non-protein coding lnc-ADH1A-2:1
Source: RNAcentral